Molecule: long non-coding RNA, 1607 nt
Filed under: Homo sapiens (human)
Lineage: Eukaryota; Metazoa; Chordata; Mammalia; Primates; Hominidae
Description: HSALNT0233484
Source: RNAcentral
ACGAAAGUGGGAGCACCUCUUGUCUGAAAGAGUCGUUCUCUGAUUGCACAUAGGUGUCAGAAAAGCUGCCGUUCACAGUAUUUUCCCUGGUGUUCACUUGCACCUCUGAAACUCCUGUCGUGGAUCUGGUUUUCAACUGUUAUUUAAUAGUUGAAGAAUUAGGAUUUGCACCUAUUUAGAGGGAAUGGAUACAGUACACCCUUCUCAAACCAUUUUUUUUUCCAAUUUAAUGCUUAAGUGGUCAUUGAUGGCUUUCGAUGAGAGUAAUAUGUCUUAUGAUUUCCAAACUGUAACUAACUCAAGUUAACGAGGAGAAUUUCACUUAAUGGCACCAAUUCUUGAUGGCUAAACUCGCUGGAGGUAAUCUGAAUGAAAAGACUGACUUUGUCGUUUCUCUUUCUGCACCCACAAAAGGGGGAAAAGAACUAACUGCUGAUAGUUAUUGCUUUCAUCUGUACCAUUUCCAGCUUGCAUUUACUGUCACGAAACACACUUGUGUUUAAUUCCACAUAUUUUAGUAAUUGUUGCAAACUGGAGAAGAGGUAUCAAGCACUUAUCUCUAGGAGAACUUAAGUAUGGUAUUUCAAAGCCAGGAAGAGGAAGAAGAGCGUUACCUCCUUGUCUUCCAGGGGAAAAGAAAGACCUUUGAAGGAGCCAUCUAGAACACAUGCCAGGAAGACUCCUUGAAAUUAUUACCAAAUUUCGAAUUCUCCAAAAAGAAUUUCAAAUAACAAAAACAAUGAUUGAGAACUCAACAAUUUCACACAAAAAAUAUUAAAGCCCCAGACCAGGCCCAGUGGGACCUUGAAUACAUACUGUAUUUCUUUAAUUCAUGAAUGUACCAUUGGAAUAUAUAUAAUCAACAAUGAUGGAACCUCAUACUGGCUUCUCACCUAUUAUACUAGAAAGGACUAAAUGGAAAGAAACUUCUGGAAUUCCUCUCAAUACCAAGAGUAAAUGAAAAGAAAUACCACAUCCCUGGGGGAACCAUAGUGACAAAUGUCAUAAGAAGCCACUUGAAAGAGGUGGAGAAACUGAUUCCUGUUGCUUCCUGACAUAACUCUCUACUAUACUUGGAGAAUUCUGGUAGAGUAUUAUAAGCUUAACAGGUGAUAACUUCCCUUAAAUCAGGUGUUCCAAAUGUGGUGUCUUUACUGAAGCAAAUGAACAUAGCCUUUACUGAUCUUGCAAAUCUUGUUUUCUCUAUCACAAUAAAUUUAGAACAUCAGUAGCAUUUAGCUUAUACUUGGCAUGGAUAGCAAUAUACUUUUACCACUUUGCCUCAGAGUUAUGUAAAUUCUCUGACCUCAAGCCAUGAUGUAAUCUCUAGGGAACUAGAUCAUCUCAUUAUCCCAAAAGAUAUCAGACUAGUCCAGGACAUCAAUGACACUAUGCUGAUAUGAUCAAGAGAAUAGAAGCAGUAGACACUCUAGAUGCUCUGGUAACACACAUGCAUGCUAGAGAAUGAGAGAUGUAUUCUUGAAAAUACAAGGAUAUAGUUGCUAUAGGGGUUUCUGAGGGUUCAUUGGUUUGGAACAUUUCACAAUAUAUGCUGCAGUUUGAAUCCUCUACCACUAACAAAGAAACAGCACCUGAUGGGUCUAUUU